Non-coding RNA from Macaca mulatta (Rhesus monkey), 361 nucleotides. The record is from RefSeq and is a predicted model, not a curated record. NCBI's taxonomy places the organism in Eukaryota, Metazoa, Chordata, Mammalia, Primates, Cercopithecidae.
CAUCUUGGAAGCAGCCUGCCACCAUCUUGGGAGCUCUGGGAGCAAGGACCUGGUAACAUUUUGGAGACCAUGAAGGGACUUCCAAAGCGAUAGGAAAUGUUCCCCUCAAGGCAAAAAUGCCCCUAAGAUGUAUUCUGAAGAACUGGGACCAAUUUGACCCUGAGACACUAAGAAAGAAACGACUUACAUUCUUCUGCAGUACAGCCUGGCCACGAUAUCUUCUUCAAGGAGGAGAAACCUGGCUGCCUGAGAGAAGUAUAAAUUAUAACACCAUCUUACAGCUAGACCUCUUUUGUAGAAAAGAAGGCAAAUGGAGUCAAGUGCCAUAUGUACAAACUUUCUUUUCAUUAAAAGACAACUC